RNAcentral lists this long non-coding RNA (2947 nucleotides) under Selaginella moellendorffii. RNAcentral's name for it is "long non-coding RNA (SMOE_LNC002368)". Lineage: Eukaryota; Viridiplantae; Streptophyta; Lycopodiopsida; Selaginellales; Selaginellaceae. The record is from RNAcentral.
CGCCGCCACCUCCUCCGCCUUACUACUACAAAUCUCCGCCUCCGCCUCCUCCCUACAAGUAUGAAUCGCCGCCUCCGCCUCCCUACAAGUACGAGUCGCCGCCUCCACCACCGUACUACUACAAAUCACCUCCGCCGCCCCCAUACAAGUAUGAAUCGCCGCCGCCACCACCAUACAAGUAUGAAUCGCCGCCGCCACCACCAUACAAGUAUGAAUCGCCUCCUCCACCACCAUAUAAGUACGAAUCGCCACCGCCACCACCAUACAAGUACGAGUCGCCUCCUCCACCUCCGUACAAGUAUGAAUCGCCUCCUCCCCCACCAUACUACUACAAAUCACCACCACCACCUCCUUACAAGUAUGAAUCUCCCCCUCCACCUCCAUAUUACUACAAAUCUCCACCCCCGCCACCACCUUACUACUACAAAUCACCACCACCACCUUCUCCUGUCUACAAAUAUAAAUCUCCACCACCACCACCUUACAAGUACGAAUCUCCUCCUCCACCUCCAUACUAUUACAAGUCUCCACCACCACCGCCGUAUUACUACAAGUCUCCACCACCACCACCUCCAGUUUACAAAUACAAAUCUCCUCCUCCGCCACCAUAUUACUACAAAUCACCACCUCCUCCAUCACCAGUAUAUUACUACAAAUCUCCUCCUCCACCAGCGUAUUACUACAAAUCUCCCCCACCGCCUGUCUACUAUUACAAAUCCCCGCCACCUCCAGCUUACCACUACCAAUCGCCACCCCCACCAAGUUACAAGCUGGUAGUGGUCACGGGCAAGGUCUAUUGCAACAGAUGCUGGAACACCACAAGCAGAUACCUUCAGGCAUCACCACAUGGGUCUGCUAGGUACAUUCUCAAUUGCAUUGUAUUCGAUAUUGUUCUCCUCACUCAUUUCCUCUUGAUACUGUGUGCAAUAAUGCAGGUGGCAAAGUGAAGAUCACAUGUGGCGAAUCUUACUACUACGGCUACACCAACAAGCAUGGAAUCUUUAGAAUUGAGCUCCCGCACCAAUCCUGGGAAGAAGCAAGCAGCUGCAAGGCCAAGAUUAUCAAGAGCAGCUACAUCAAGUCGUCAUGCAAUGUCAUCACGGACUACAGGUCUGGUGCAACAGGGGCCAAGCUCAAGUUCAAAUCGAAAACAGAGAAGGAGCUCGUCUUGACAGCCGGUCCUUUCAUCUAUGCAACUCCAGAGCCAUCGUCAGUCUGCUUCUACACAUCACCUCCCUAUGAGUACAAGUCACCUCCGCCACCAACACCGGUCUACCAUUACGCCUCUCCGCCACCUCCGGUCUACUACUACAAAUCGCCACCUCCUCCUUCACCGGUUUACUACUACAAAUCCCCUCCUCCUCCUUCGCCGGUCUACUAUUACAAAUCCCCGCCUCCACCACCAUACUAUUACAAGUCCCCACCUCCACCUCCGCCUAAGUAUUACUACAAGUCGCCCCCACCACCGUCUCCAUACUAUUACAAAUCCCCGCCCCCUCCACCGUACUAUUACAAAUCCCCACCACCACCUCCCUACAAAUACGAAUCGCCGCCGCCUCCUCCUUACAAAUACGAGUCCCCACCUCCACCACCUUACUAUUACAAGUCCCCACCACCACCUCCAUACAAAUAUGAAUCCCCGCCACCUCCAGUCUACAAAUAUGAGUCUCCGCCACCCCCAGUUUACAAAUACAAGUCGCCACCACCACCAUACAAGUACGAGUCACCACCACCACCUCCAUACAAGUAUGAAUCCCCGCCACCUCCACCUUAUUACUACAAGUCCCCUCCACCACCACCAUACAAGUACGAGUCGCCACCACCUCCUCCGUACAAGUAUGAAUCUCCACCACCACCAGUUUACAAAUACAAGUCACCUCCGCCGCCACCUUAUUACUACAAAUCCCCACCGCCACCUCCAUACAAGUACGAGUCUCCACCUCCUCCUCCGUACAAGUAUGAAUCUCCACCACCACCACCUUAUUACUACAAAUCCCCCCCGCCACCUCCAUACAAGUACGAGUCACCGCCUCCUCCUCCGUACAAGUAUGAAUCUCCACCACCGCCAGUUUACAAAUACAAGUCACCCCCGCCACCACCUUAUUACUACAAAUCCCCGCCACCACCUCCAUACAAGUACGAGUCUCCACCUCCUCCUCCGUACAAGUAUGAAUCUCCACCACCACCUCCUUAUUACUACAAAUCCCCGCCGCCACCUCCCUACAAGUAUGAAUCCCCGCCACCACCUCCCUACAAAUACGAGUCACCUCCACCACCACCUUACUAUUACAAAUCUCCUCCACCGCCUCCAUACAAGUAUGAGUCGCCACCACCACCAGUCUACAAAUACGAGUCUCCGCCACCCCCAGUUUACAAAUACAAGUCGCCCCCUCCACCUUAUUACUACAAGUCUCCGCCACCCCCGCCAUACAAAUAUGAAUCCCCACCUCCACCUCCCUACAAGUAUGAAUCGCCUCCUCCUCCACCUUACUACUACAAGUCCCCUCCACCACCUCCCUACAAAUAUGAAUCCCCGCCACCACCUCCCUAUAAAUACGAGUCACCACCACCACCACCUUACUAUUACAAAUCUCCUCCACCGCCUCCAUACAAGUAUGAGUCGCCACCACCACCUCCCUACAAAUACGAGUCACCACCACCACCACCUUACAAGUAUGAAUCCCCACCUCCACCUCCGUACAAGUAUGAAUCACCUCCACCGCCUCCAUACAAGUAUGAAUCCCCUCCUCCACCUCCCUACAAAUACGAGUCACCACCCCCACCACCUUAUUACUACAAAUCGCCUCCGCCACCGGAGUAUCAAUCACCUCCUUACGUGUAUAAAUCUCCACCUCCACCCUCGUACUAGGAGCUAAGGAGCAUUUGAUUUUCAGGUGAGAAAUCUAUAGAACCACAGUUCCUAGUUUUAACAAGUUUUCAAAUUCAU